RNAcentral lists this ribosomal RNA (465 nucleotides) under uncultured bacterium. Its description in RNAcentral is "partial 16S ribosomal RNA". It matches the Rfam family "Bacterial small subunit ribosomal RNA", at positions 28 to 507 of the family's 1533-position model. The record is from RNAcentral.
GACGAACGCUGGCGGCGUGCUUAACACAUGCAAGUCGAACGGAAAGGCCCCUUUGGGGGUACUCGAGUGGCGAACGGGUGAGUAACACGUGAGUAACCUGCCCUUGACUUCGGGAUAACUUCAGGAAACUGGGGCUAAUACCGGAUAGGAAUCCUUGCUGCCUGGUGGGGGUUGGAAAGCUUCGGCGGUUUUGGAUGGACUCGCGGCUUAUUAGCUUGUUGGUGGGGUAGUGGCUUACCAAGGCUUUGACGGGUAGCCGGCCUGAGAGGGCGACCGGCCACAUUGGGACUGAGAUACGGCCCAGACUCCUACGGGAGGCAGCAGUGGGGAAUAUUGCACAAUGGGCGGAAGCCUGAUGCAGCAACGCCGCGGGCGGGAUGACGGCCUUCGGGUUGUAAACCGCUUUCAGCAGGGGCGAAGCUUGUGGUGACGGUACCUGCAGAAGAAGCACCGGCUAACUACGUG